GACGAACGCUGGCGGCGUGCUUAACACAUGCAAGUCGAGCGGUAAGGCCCUUUCGGGGGUACACGAGCGGCGAACGGGUGAGUAACACGUGGGUGACCUGCCCUUAGCUCUGGGAUAAGCCUGGGAAACUGGGUCUAAUACCGGAUAUGACUCCAUGACGCAUGUUGUGGGGUGAAAAGCCUUGUGCGGCUAGGGAUGGGCCCGCGGCCUAUCAGCUUGUUGGUGGGGUGANGGCCUACCAAGGCGACGACGGGUAGCCGGCCUGAGAGGGCGACCGGCCACACUGGGACUGAGACACGGCCCAGACUCCUACGGGAGGCAGCAGUGGGGAACCUUGCGCAAUGGGCGAAAGCCUGACGCAGCGACGCCGCGUGGGGAUGACGGCCU
RNAcentral lists this ribosomal RNA (387 nucleotides) under uncultured bacterium. RNAcentral's name for it is "bacterial SSU rRNA". It matches the Rfam family "Bacterial small subunit ribosomal RNA", at positions 28 to 417 of the family's 1533-position model. The record is from RNAcentral.